CAGGAAGGUCCUUAGGACUCGACGAGGACCAAGCUAUAGAAGGUGAUACGGUGUUAUAUCUGAAUGGAUUCGGAUAGAAUGAUCAGAUAUCGAGGCCGUAGAACGUAGGGGUCAGAUUACAUCAGAAUGAUUCGCUGUCCUUCAGAAGGUUGGGCCAGCUGCUACGGAGAGGAGAUUUCACAGAACUGUGUCCUCUCUUUGUUUAUGACCAGACCCUAUUUCUAUGACGAUUAUUAGUCUAUAGAUGCUCCAACGCAGAUUCCUAGUAACAUGAUCGGGAGAUUCUUUACAUCAACCAUUCAGGUAAGUAUUCCGGAUACACCCAUGCACUUAGUUACCAAGGGUCUGUUCAGAGUCAACUUUAGCUCUUAGAUCUAUCAAAACAAUGCCCUGCGAUGCAAUUGCUUUCUUGCUCUCCCCUUUUGUAACUGAUAUCGGCGCAAUGAAACGACGCAAGAAAUGCAAGAUGCACAGGAACAAUUCGAAAGAACAGGACAAAUGAAAACCGAUAAGAUAGCCAACCAGGCGAAGCAAUUCUUUCUAUGCAGUAUCAUUUCAAUUCUUCCUGGGCUGGCUUCAGCAGGACCAAUGGCUAUCGUUCCACCCUGGAAGUCCCAUGUGGCGGAUUGACACCAGC
This 637-nucleotide small RNA is filed under the name Histoplasma capsulatum var. duboisii H88. RNAcentral's name for it is "Histoplasma capsulatum H88 hypothetical RNA". Lineage: Eukaryota; Fungi; Ascomycota; Eurotiomycetes; Onygenales; Ajellomycetaceae. The record is from RNAcentral.